RNAcentral lists this unclassified non-coding RNA (254 nucleotides) under uncultured Parcubacteria group bacterium. RNAcentral describes it as "contains 16S-23S intergenic spacer region". It matches the Rfam family "Bacterial small subunit ribosomal RNA", at positions 524 to 776 of the family's 1533-position model. The record is from RNAcentral.
UACAGAGACCUCAAACGUUAUCCGGAAUUAUUGGGCGUAAAGGGUCCGCAGGCGGUAUGGUGCGUCUGCUGUGAAAUCUCUGGGCUCAACCCAGAGGAGUGCAGUGGAUACGACCAUGCUAGAGGCAGGGAGAGGUAGAUGGAACUCAUGGUGGAGCAGUGAAAUGCGUUGAUAUCAUGGGGAACACCAAUUGCGAAGGCAGUCUACUGGUCCUGUCCUGACGCUCAGGGACGACAGCGUGGGGAGCGAAGCGG